Molecule: long non-coding RNA, 383 nt
Filed under: Androctonus crassicauda
Lineage: Eukaryota; Metazoa; Arthropoda; Arachnida; Scorpiones; Buthidae
Source: RNAcentral
AAGCAUAAAAAACAAAGUAUAAUUUAGGACAUUAACUGAAUCUAUACGAAAAAACUAUGAAUCAUAAAAUUUACAAAUGAAAUAUAACUGUAAUGACAAAAUUUAUUUAUUAUUGCUUUAAUUGUUGAAUUUUUAUAUAAGUUAUUCUCAGGGCCGGCGCAAGUCAGGUUCAGCGCGUUCGCCGGAACCCGGCCCCACGUUUUGAGAGGCCCUGCUGUUUACGAAAAUUACCCAAUUAAAAAACACCGAUUUUGAUUAACUUUUUACAGAAUGAUGAUACCAUUAACAGAUGCAAGAUAUUUUUUAGUAGCGAUGAUUCAAUUUAAAGGAGUGACAAAAAUCAUCAAAGUUCAGUGUAACUCCAUAAAGUCCUCAUAUCCUGG